GACGAACGCUGGCGGCGUGCCUAAUACAUGCAAGUAGAACGCUGAAGGAGGAGCUUGCUUCUCUGGAUGAGUUGCGAACGGGUGAGUAACGCGUAGGUAACCUGCCUGGUAGCGGGGGAUAACUAUUGGAAACGAUAGCUAAUACCGCAUAAGAGUAGAUGUCGCAUGACAUUUGCUUAAAAGGUGCAAUUGCAUCACUACCAGAUGGACCUGCGUUGUAUUAGCUAGUUGGUGAGGUAACGGCUCACCAAGGCAACGAUACAUAGCCGACCUGAGAGGGGGAUCGGCCACACUGGGACUGGGACACGCCCCAGACUCCUACGGGAGGCAGCAGUAUGGAAUCUUCGGCAAUGGACGGAAGUCUGACCGAGCAACGCCGCGUGAGUGAAGAAGGUUUUCGGAUCGUAAAGCUCUGUUGUAAGAGAAGAACGGGUGUGAGAGUGGAAAGUUCACACUGUGACGGUAUCUUACCAGAAAGGGACGGCUAACUACGUG
Molecule: ribosomal RNA, 495 nt
Filed under: uncultured bacterium
Lineage: Bacteria
Description: partial 16S ribosomal RNA
Rfam family: Bacterial small subunit ribosomal RNA
Source: RNAcentral